AUGGCUUCCUCGGCGUCUCUCCUCCUCCUCCUCGUCGCUGCUUCGCACGUGUGCUGCUGCCACGGGCAAGGCGGCGACAACGGCGCUGUGGCGGCGAUCUACAGCCUGGGCGACUCCAUCACGGACACGGGGAACCUGGCCAAGGAGGCGCCGCCCGGCGCCUUCGAGACCAUCAAGCACCUCCCCUACGGCGUCACCUUCGGCCGGCCCACCGGCCGGUGCUCCGACGGACUUCUCAUGAUCGACUUCCUCGGUACGUACGUUCGUCCCAACUGGCAGUGCAUGCAUCCUCUGCUUCAGUACAUGGCACUGAGUGUACCGCUCUCGUCUGCAAAUGCAGCUCAGGACAUGGGCCUCCCGUUCCUCAACCCUUACCUGGCCAAGAACAUGAGCUUCGCCCAUGGGGUGAACUUCGCCGUCGCUGGAGCCACCGCCAUGGACCUCGCCGACCAGUUCAACGGGAGCUUCUCCAUGCCCUUCACCUCCAACUCCCUCAAGCUGCAGCUCCGGUGGUUCAAGGACUCCAUGAAGUCCACCUACGCCACUCAUGCAGGCAAUUCAUCAAUUUCCUUCCCUCUUAUUACUCCUCAAUGCACACUCUGUUUUCAACAGUCGGGCAUACUAAUUCUAUAUGUAAAAUCUGUGUGUGCAGUGAUACGCAAAAGGCUCCAAUCAUCUUUGGUUUUGGUCGGGGAGAUCGGAGGAAACGACUACAACUUCGCCUUCUACGCAAACAAGUCUGUCAGUGAGGUGGAGAAAAUGAUCCCAGCUGUGGUUCAGACCAUCAUCAACGCCACCAAGGAAGUGCUGGACAUGGGCGCGAGCAGAGUCAUCGUCCCGGGCAACUUCCCCAUCGGCUGCCUCCCUAGCUACCUCACCGCGAUGGCAGCGCCGGAGCCCUCGGCCUACGACUCUACGGCCUGCCUCAAGGACCUCAACCUCUUCGCCGCCAAGCACAACACGCAGCUCCAGCAAGCCGUGGCCGGUCUCCAGGCGUCAUACCCAGACGCGGCCAUCGCCUACGCAGACUACUUCAACUCCUUCCUCAGCCUCCUCAAGGGCGCCCCGGCGCUCGGCUUCGACUCGAAUAGCACGCACAAGGCGUGCUGCGGCGCCGGCGGCAGGUACAACUACGACUUGAGGCUGAUGUGCGGCGUGGAGGGGACGGCGGUGUGCGCGGACCCGUCGGCGUACGUGAGCUGGGACGGCAUCCACAUGACCCAGGCGGCGUACAAGGCCAUGUCCAGGCUCAUCUACCACGGCCGGUACCUGCAGCCACAGAUACUCAACUUCCCGGAGAAGAAUGGGCAGACGUGA
This 1317-nucleotide ribosomal RNA is filed under the name Triticum aestivum (bread wheat). Its description in RNAcentral is "partial small subunit ribosomal RNA". Lineage: Eukaryota; Viridiplantae; Streptophyta; Magnoliopsida; Poales; Poaceae. The record is from RNAcentral.